RNAcentral lists this ribosomal RNA (751 nucleotides) under uncultured Filifactor sp. Its description in RNAcentral is "bacterial SSU rRNA". It matches the Rfam family "Bacterial small subunit ribosomal RNA", at positions 28 to 776 of the family's 1533-position model. Lineage: Bacteria; Bacillati; Bacillota; Clostridia; Peptostreptococcales; Filifactoraceae. The record is from RNAcentral.
GAUGAACGCUGGCGGCGUGCUUAACACAUGCAAGUCGAACGAACGACUAUUAACAGAACCUUUCGGGGCGAAGAAUAUAGAAGUUAGUGGCGGACGGGUGCGUAACGCGUGGGUAAUCUGCCUUUGUCAAAGGAAUAACUAUUCGAAAGAAUAGCUAAAACCGUAUAACAUAUUAAUAGGGCAUCCUAGUAAUAUCAAAACGAUAGUGGACAAAGAUGAGCCCGCGUCUGAUUAGCUAGCUGGUGAGAUAAAAGCCCACCAAGGCAACGAUCAGUAGCCGACCUGAGAGGGUGAACGGCCACAUUGGAACUGAGACACGGUCCAAACUCCUACGGGAGGCAGCAGUGGGGAAUAUUGCACAAUGGGGGGAACCCUGAUGCAGCAACGCCGCGUGAGUGAAGAAGGCAUUCGUGUCGUAAAACUCUGUAGUAGGGGAAGAAAGAAAUGACAGUACCCUAAAAGAAAGCCCCGGCUAACUACGUGCCAGCAGCCGCGGUAAUACGUAGGGGGCAAGCGUUAUCCGGAAUAACUGGGCGUAAAGGGUGCGCAGGUGGUUUAACAAGUUAGUGGUGAAAGGCAUAGGCUCAACCAAUGUAAGCCAUUAAAACUGUUUAACUUGAGUGCAGGAGAGGAAAGUGGAAUUCCUAGUGUAGCGGUGAAAUGCGUAGAUAUUAGGAGGAGUACCAGUGGCGAAGGCGACUUUCUGGACUGCAACUGACACUGAGGCACGAAAGCGUGGGGAGCAAACAGG